ACUAUCCGCCUGGGUACUACGAGCUUUAGCUUAAAACCCAAAGGACUUGGCGGUGCUUAAGAUCCACCUAGAGGAGCCUGUUCUAUAACCGAUAAUCCCCGUUUAACCUCACUCUUUCUUGUUCACCGCCUAUAUACCGCCGUGGCAGCUCACCCUGUGAAGGCCCUGUAGUAAGCAAAUUGGUAUGACCCAAAACGCAGGUCGAGGUGUAGCGUG
Molecule: ribosomal RNA, 216 nt
Filed under: Chelon ramada (thin-lipped mullet)
Lineage: Eukaryota; Metazoa; Chordata; Actinopteri; Mugiliformes; Mugilidae
Description: partial 12S ribosomal RNA
Source: RNAcentral